This 417-nucleotide ribosomal RNA is filed under the name Triticum aestivum (bread wheat). Its description in RNAcentral is "partial small subunit ribosomal RNA". The record is from RNAcentral. Lineage: Eukaryota; Viridiplantae; Streptophyta; Magnoliopsida; Poales; Poaceae.
AUGGGGGCUAUUCUCAGGGAUGACAAAGGAAAUUUCAUCGUUUGCGGAAAUUGGAAGAUAGAAUGGUGCGCGGAUGUUCUAACAGCAGAAGCGUUGGCGCUGAGGUUUGGAUUAUUGCUGGCACAAACGGCGGGCUGCAAUCGUCUUGUAAUUAAUUCUGACAACAUGGAAGCCAUUGACACAAUGAACAACAGAGGACAUUCUGCAGGAGCAGCGGCGGUAGUUUUUUAUGAUUGUUAUUUUUUGACUUGUGAUUUUCCUCUUAGUAGAUUUGAACAUUGUAAUAGGGAAGCCAAUAAAGUAGCUCAUGAACUCGCUAGAUUAGCGAAAAGUUCGUUGACAAAGGAUCGGUUCCAGGAGCCAAUGGAAAAUAUUGUACCCCUUCUUAUAGACGAUGUAACCGUUGUUUCUAAUUAA